UAUUUGAUAUGUUUUUAUAACUAUGUUGAACAUUUUCUGCAAUUAUUCUGGCCCUGUCUUACACAAGUGUUUGUUUGUGUAACCUUUGAAUUUGUUGACCAAAGCUUCUUUUGCAGACCUGUGACCUGUGCUUGCAGCUUCCUCAAUAGACCCUGGUGAUCUAUUACAGAAUGCUUGAUCUACCAUGGCAACGAGAGCGUCGUACCUCCGGCAGGAAAUCCUCCUAGAAGCGUAUGAAGAAGUCAAGGACCAAAUAAAAAUACAAGGGUAACACCACCACGGUAAUAAAACAAAGAGAAAAGCAUUGUAAAGUAUUGCAGACCACCUGAAUACGUAAGUAGGACACAAAUACACACUCCUCUGAAACCAUCAUAAUUACAGUCUACAUAGUUACUAAUGAGGCCAUUGAAAUUGCAGGUGAAACUGAUGCAGAUGUGAGAGAAAUGAUGUAAAUGUGUUUGUCUGGUUAUUAAAACAGUAUCAGGUGUCUGUAUCUCCUUCCCUGGCCACAGAAAUCUUUGCCACACCAAAGAGGAGUUUAUAGGGUUGCAGAUGGUCUGCAAAGCUGACUGGCUAAUCAGUAUUGGCAAAGUGAUCUGGCUCGGUCCAGGACUCCUGAGUCUUUCAAACUUCUGGCAUCUGGCACCUCUAAUAAUAAUCACUUUUAACAUUAUGGCUGGGUCUAUUUAUGAGGUUGUGAUGAUGAUAUUCACAGGUGAAUGUCUUGCUAGUGGAUAGAGGGUGUCUACCAGCCUUUUCUCCUGACACUGUCUGCAG
This is a long non-coding RNA of Melanotaenia boesemani (Boeseman's rainbowfish), 777 nucleotides long. RefSeq lists it as uncharacterized. The record is from RefSeq and is a predicted model, not a curated record. Lineage: Eukaryota; Metazoa; Chordata; Actinopteri; Atheriniformes; Melanotaeniidae. The transcript has 2 exons.